UCUCCGUAGGUGAACCUGCGGAGGGAUCAUUACAGAGUUCAUUCCCUACCGGGUAGAUCUCCCACCCUAUGCUAUUUGUACUUUGUCGCUUUAGCUUGCCGUUAGGCUCCGGCCCGACUACCGCCCCCGGCUUGUAAGCCUUCGUCUGAAGACUCAAAACCCUAAAUAUUACAGUCGACUACUUACUACAUAAUAUCUAAUACUUUCCACAACGGAUCUCAUCGCUCUAGCACCGAUGAACAACCGACUAAACCGCAAGAACACCGGACUGAACCCCAU
Molecule: unclassified non-coding RNA, 279 nt
Filed under: plant metagenome
Description: partial contains small subunit ribosomal RNA, internal transcribed spacer 1, and 5.8S ribosomal RNA
Source: RNAcentral